RNAcentral lists this long non-coding RNA (675 nucleotides) under Salmo salar (Atlantic salmon). RNAcentral's name for it is "lncRNA (ENSSSAG00000116597.1)". Lineage: Eukaryota; Metazoa; Chordata; Actinopteri; Salmoniformes; Salmonidae. The record is from RNAcentral.
CAGUUGUCGGAGUUAUGCUGCCCCUGACAUACACACAUUAUCUUCUCACAAACACACUCUCUUCUCACACACUGUCACACACUCUGUUCUCACACACUGUCAGAAACUCUCCCGGCUGCGUUCAUUACAGUCCGUUGCUCUUUCCAAACACAGGGACAGGAGCAGAAUGACUGGGCUUUAACCUGGUGGAGGGGAAAGUUUCCCUCACUGGGGGUAAACAGACUGAGGACACACUGGGACUACUAUACUGGACUACUGUACCAAUACCACCCUCAUGACGAAUGAAGUGACAGGAGAGAGCAGACAGCAGGACAGAGCUUUAUUGGCAUGACGUAACAGUCUCUCUCUCGCUCUCUCUCUCUCUCUGUCUCUCUCUCUCUAUAUAUGCCAUUCCCCUCUGAGGGCAUAGCCAAUUAAAGAGAUCAAUGGAUAAUGUGUGAUCGUUAGACUAGGAUUUGCAAUAGAGAAGUGUGUUUUUCUGUACUACAGUGAGGGAAUCUCCCAAAAGUAGUUCAGUCACGGCCACACAGGCGUGUGUUGUACCAGGUGGUUAGGCUAAACUUAGAGCCCCCUGUCUGUCUCAUGUUACCCCUGUACCUCACUGACAUCCAUUUCACACACACUUACCCCACAGCCAUACAGUUUCCUUAUUUCCUGUGGCUACUUUGAAUAAAC